Paragonimus skrjabini miyazakii is the source of this 81-nucleotide non-coding RNA. The record is from the annotation of a GenBank genome assembly. NCBI's taxonomy places the organism in Eukaryota, Metazoa, Platyhelminthes, Trematoda, Plagiorchiida, Troglotrematidae.
GGCUUCGUAGCUCAGUUGGUAGAGCGCUUGCGGUGUUUGGGCAUGGUGUUUCUCUCGCUGGUUCGAAUCCAGCCGAAGUCC